Molecule: long non-coding RNA, 1837 nt
Filed under: Glycine max (soybean)
Lineage: Eukaryota; Viridiplantae; Streptophyta; Magnoliopsida; Fabales; Fabaceae
Description: long non-coding RNA (GMAX_LNC000711)
Source: RNAcentral
AUAGGCAACUUUCAUAGUAGGAUUUGGGAUUGGCAUUUGAUAGCAUCGGUUUGGUGCAGUGAGAAGUGAAAACCGAUGUAGCUCUUUCAUGCAUGACGAAAAUUAAGGUGCUAACUUAGACUUGUUGACUCGUUUAGUUUGGUAAUGCCUUUAGCUUAUCCUUCCUUCCUAGUCUCAUGUAGGUUGAUUGAGUCACGGAUUAAUCGAAUGCUAUUAACAAAAUUAACUACAAUAUUUUUAUUCAAGGAAAAAUUACACUAACUUUCUCAUACAUAUCUUUUAAAUUCAAAACCACAUCCCCUAUAGCUAUUAAACAUAAAAACACUCACUUACCACCAAAAUAGUAUUCUUCUUCAUCUGUAUAUUGUUUGAAUACCAACCUUUCUUCAAAGAAACUAAUAAUAAACAUGAAGUACAAGGAAAAAUAAGAGAAAUACAAAUAUUUUAAUAUUAAUAGAUAACAAACACAAUGAUGAUAGCUCAAUAUUAACGUGACCUGAUAGGAUCAAUAAAUAAUUAUUAAAAUAAAUCCUGAUAUCAUAAAAAAAUCAAUAUCUAAUUUAAUUAUAUAAAACCGAAUAAUUAGUAUAAGAUAAGAAUUCAUUAGAGAAAAAAAAGAUACAAUUUUUUUUUUUACUAUAUCCGUAAUUGACAUGGAAUACUUAACAAAAUUUGUCUCAAAUCAAACUUAAGAAUGUAUAACAAAAUUAGGCCCAGUCUUGAUCAUACUUUUGAUUUAAACUUUGCCACGUCUCUUCCUAUUCAAAUUCUAUGUUUAUGUGACCCAACAAUUUGUGGAUGUAAUAGCCUGGAAUUUAAUAUUAUUGGGUUUGUUUAAUUUCAAAGUACUUUGCGUCUUGUUAGAAGUUGAAAGGCUUAUAAUGUAAGGGUAUUGUUAAUCAAUGUUUAAAAAAUUAAGAGUUUUUUUUAUUAAAAAUUAUAUGAAAAUAUAUUUUAAAAUUAUAAGAAAAUACAAUUUUUUCAUAUUCUAAUAAAAAAAUUCCUUUCAACUCCUUUACCAUUGUCUUAAUUGCCUUAAAGACACUAAUUAACAUUUAUCAUAAUAUAAUAGACUUAUAAAUACUCUUUUUCUUGUUGUUAAUGUAUCUUUAAUGUAAAUAUUUAAUUUGAGUUUUAAACUUUUUUUAAUGAAUCUUUUACUGUCACAGGAUUUAAGAAUAAUAGCUAAUUUUUACUAUAAUAGAAGAAUUUAAUUUAGGUUCUUAAUUUAUUUUUAGUCUACCGUGUUUUAUCUUUUUACUCAUAUAAUAACCUUUAUUUUGAUUUAAAAAUUAUUUUUUUAAUGGUUAAACAACUUUAUUUGUGGAGGAAAACAUGCAUAAACACACACAUGACCCCAGGCACCCAUUUUUUAUGUUUAAUAGCAUUUUUAAGAUGAUACUGUAAAAUAAAAAAAACAAAAAAAAAACAGCAUUUAUAAGAUUGAAACCACUGACUAUUUGAUUGGACUCUUAGAAAUUGCCGAUAGGCAUCGUGCCAUUGCCAUAUGCUUUUUUGAACUGCUUCUGUCUGGCUUGUGCUUUUGUCCUAAGCAGUUCAGAAAAGCAGAAAAUAAAACUUGGAUUGUACCUGAUCUCCUGUCCGUACCACAGUUUUGUUCACGGGGGCAUGGAAUCUUCAAUCCUGUUUUUGUUGAUACGUAUGAUUCAGAUUCUGCAAAUCAUUUCAAUCAUGAAAUCAACAGUAAACCCCAUUAAAUGCAAACCAUUGUAUCAGGAGUGGUGACAAAUGUAUGUGAGGGGCGGAGCCUGCAAAAACGGACUUGGCUGUUUUCAAAACCCGUACAGCCCAUUGUUUGUUUUUCAAAGAGUUAAUA